RNAcentral lists this ribosomal RNA (541 nucleotides) under Rattus norvegicus (Norway rat). RNAcentral describes it as "partial large subunit ribosomal RNA". It matches the Rfam family "Bacterial large subunit ribosomal RNA", at positions 1843 to 2608 of the family's 2925-position model. The record is from RNAcentral. Lineage: Eukaryota; Metazoa; Chordata; Mammalia; Rodentia; Muridae.
GUAUUAGAGGCAUUGCCUGCCAGUGACUAAAGUUAAACGGCCGCGGUAUCCUGACCGUGCAAAGGUAGCAUAAUCACUUGUUCCUUAAUUAGGGACUAGAAUGAAUGGCUAAACGAGGGUUCAACUGUCUCUUACUUUCAAUCAGUGAAAUUGACCUUCCAGUGAAGAGGCUGGAAUCUCCCAAUAAGACGAGAAGACCCUAUGGAGCUUUAAUUUACUAGUUCAACUUAUAUAAAAACAACCUAAUGGGCUAAAACAAAAUAAAUAUGAACUAAAAAAUUUCGGUUGGGGUGACCUCGGAGAAUAAAAAAUCCUCCGAAUGAUUUUAACCUAGACUCACAAGUCAAAGUAAUACUAAUAUCUUAUUGACCCAAUUAUUGAUCAACGGACCAAGUUACCCUAGGGAUAACAGCGCAAUCCUAUUUAAGAGUUCAUAUCGACAAUUAGGGUUUACGACCUCGAUGUUGGAUCAGGACAUCCCAAUGGUGCAGAAGCUAUUAAUGGUUCGUUUGUUCAACGAUUAAAGUCCUACGUGAUCUAU